This 433-nucleotide ribosomal RNA is filed under the name uncultured bacterium. RNAcentral describes it as "partial 16S ribosomal RNA". It matches the Rfam family "Bacterial small subunit ribosomal RNA", at positions 29 to 507 of the family's 1533-position model. The record is from RNAcentral.
AACGAACGCUGGCGGCAUGCCUAACACAUGCAAGUCGAACGAGACCUUCGGGUCUAGUGGCGCACGGGUGCGUAACGCGUGGGAACCUGCCCUUAGGUUCGGAAUAACUCCCCGAAAGGGGUGCUAAUACCGGAUAAUGUCUUCGGACCAAAGAUUUAUCGCCUUUGGAUGGGCCCGCGUUGGAUUAGCUAGUUGGUAGGGUAAAAGCCUACCAAGGCGACGAUCCAUAGCUGGUCUGAGAGGAUGAUCAGCCACACUGGGCCUGAGACGCGGCCCAGACUCAUGCGGGAGGCAGCAGUGGAAAAUAUUGGACAAUGGGCGACAGUCUGAUCAAGCAAUGCCGCGUGAGUGAUGCAGGCCUUAGGGUUGUAAAGCUCUUUUACCCGGGUUGUUAAUGACAGUACCGGGAGAAUAAGCGCCGGCUAACUCCGUG